This 515-nucleotide ribosomal RNA is filed under the name uncultured bacterium. RNAcentral's name for it is "partial 16S ribosomal RNA". It matches the Rfam family "Bacterial small subunit ribosomal RNA", at positions 28 to 523 of the family's 1533-position model. The record is from RNAcentral.
GAUGAACGCUGGCGGCGUGCCUAAUACAUGCAAGUCGAGCGAAUGGAUUAAGAGCUUGCUCUUAUGAAGUUAGCGGCGGACGGGUGAGUAACACGUGGGUAACCUGCCCAUAAGACUGGGAUAACUCCGGGAAACCGGGGCUAAUACCGGAUAACAUUUUGAACCGCAUGGUUCGAAAUUGAAAGGCGGCUUCGGCUGUCACUUAUGGAUGGACCCGCGUCGCAUUAGCUAGUUGGUGAGGUAACGGCUCACCAAGGCAACGAUGCGUAGCCGACCUGAGGUGGUGAUCGGCCACACUGGGACUGAGACACGGCCCAGACUCCUACGGGAGGCAGCAGUAGGGAAUCUUCCGCAAUGGACGAAAGUCUGGCGGAGCAACGCCGCGUGAGUGAUGAAGGCUUUCGGGUCGUAAAACUCUGUUGUUAGGGAAGAACAAGUGCUAGUUGAAUAAGCUGGCACCUUGACGGUACCUAACCAGAAAGCCACGGCUAACUACGUGCCAGCAGCCGCAGUAA